CACCCCUUGCACUGGGGGGCAAAAUCUUAAUCAGAGAAGUCCUGAUUCUCCAAUGCUUGAAGCAGGAGUAGAGCACUGUGAGUUUUAGAAUUCAUUCAGCUCAGGAAAAAAAAAAAGGUUUCUAAAGCUAAGAAGUCUCUUCGCUGUAAUAUUUAGACUUUUGGCACUUAUUCAGCCUUUUCUUACAUGCACACACUGGAAAACAGGAAGCUGGAGAAAGCCUUGGAGAAGGUUGUAGAAAAAGCCGUAUAUUACAGGAAGCUCUUUUCUCUGUGCCCAGAGGAGACGCAGAAGGCACCAUGUGAACACGGUGGAUUCUUUACUGCUGAGCCACCGGGGAAGAUCCCAGACAGAGAUGCAGCCUUCCUCAAAAGUAUCCUCAGGUUUUCAUUGGUUCAACAUAAGUGGCUGCUCCAGACUUUGAACAUCUUCAGUGAAACCUUGUGAGAAGGUUUAACCUUUCUCUGGUCACGUAUCAAAACUCCAAGUGAAUUGGAACACUUAGAACAUAACUAUUCUGACAGGAGGCACUAUUUCAAGGUAUGAAAAUGAGUUUUGCAUGUAGUUUUGCAUUAUUGUUCCAGGACAUAUUAGAUUCAUAACACUGGACUUAAAGAAAAAAUCUAUAACUCUCAAACUUCUUCAUAGAAUGAGAAGUACAAAUGGUCUCUUCAAGGCUGUUGUGUUGUUUAAUCAGAUAGCAUCUGAGAUUCCUUGUUGUUUUGUUCUUAACAUGUUAAAAUGGUAUUUAACUAGUUUUGGCUAAUCUAUGACUAAUGUUUGGGCUUCCCAAGUGGGAAGAAUCUGCCUACCAAUGCAGGAGAUGUGGGUUUGAUUCCUGAGUCAGAAAGAUCCCCUGGACGAGGAAAUGGCAAUCCUCUCCAGUAUUUUUGCCUAGUGAAUCCCAUGGACAGAGGAGCCUGGUGGGCUACAAUCCACAGAGUUGCAAAGAGUCGGACACGACCAGACGCACACAUACACACCUGUCUGAUGUUAUAUAUAUAAUAGUAUAUAUGACCCUAUGUGC
Molecule: long non-coding RNA, 1027 nt
Filed under: Bos indicus x Bos taurus (hybrid cattle)
Lineage: Eukaryota; Metazoa; Chordata; Mammalia; Artiodactyla; Bovidae
Description: lncRNA (ENSBIXG00005006445.1)
Source: RNAcentral